GACAGAGGUCCCGAGCGUUGUUCGGAUUCAUUGGGCGUAAAGGGUGUGUAGGAGGCCAGGUAAGUCAGGUGUGAAAUCUCAGAGCUUAACUCUGAAACUGCGCUUGAUACUGCUUGGCUAGAGGAUCGGAGAGGGUAACGGAAUUUAUGGUGUAGCAGUGAAAUGCGUAGAUAUCAUAAGGAACACCGGUGGCGAAGGCGGUUACCUGGAAGAUUCCUGACUCUGAAACACGAAAGCCAGGGGAGCAAACGGG
This 253-nucleotide ribosomal RNA is filed under the name uncultured bacterium. RNAcentral's name for it is "partial 16S ribosomal RNA". It matches the Rfam family "Bacterial small subunit ribosomal RNA", at positions 524 to 776 of the family's 1533-position model. The record is from RNAcentral.